RNAcentral lists this long non-coding RNA (777 nucleotides) under Coffea arabica (coffee). RNAcentral describes it as "long non-coding RNA (CARA_LNC004120)". Lineage: Eukaryota; Viridiplantae; Streptophyta; Magnoliopsida; Gentianales; Rubiaceae. The record is from RNAcentral.
UUCAAAAGAGGUACUUUGAUAAAUGUUUGGAACUAUCAUUUGGACGUACCUGUAAUUUUUCCAAACCCUAAGGAAGUAGACAUAAGGAACUCAAAUUGCAUAAGGUACUUGGGAACUUUUAAACAUAUAUGUAAAUAAUCUAAUUAGCAUUCCUCAGUUGUAAAUGGGAUACUUGAUAAACGCUCUGUUAUUCUAAUUUCUAAGUGAUUUGGUCAAAUUAUAAGUCCAUUUGAUAAUUUUGCCAAAUUUUAGGGGAGGUAAAUGUCAUUUAACUCAAUUAUUAACUAUGGCAACCGGGUCAAGAGUUAUUUAACCCAAUUAUUGACUCAAUGACAACCAUAAAGCUUGCUAGGUUAUCUUUGGUUGAGUUGAGCUGUUGAGGGAAUUUGUCUAAUUAAUAAGUGUUAGCUACCUACUUAAUACAUGGGAACAUAUAAGAGUUAUUUACAGAGAUCAUUGAAAAAAGGACGCCUUAGAAAAGCGAAAGUUGUUAAGAAUUGAAACUUAUUAGUAAUUAUGGAUUUGAAAUAUAUUAUAUAGCAAUGUAGAAGUUAUAGAUAAAUAUGGCACUGUUUUCUUUUUCCCAUCUAUUGGAUAUAUUAAAUUUGUUUGGAUAGAGUAUUAUUUGAAAUAAUUAUUGUAGCACUUUUUGUGAUGUGAUGUAAUGUAUGCGGGAUAAAAAAAUAAUUGGGAAUAUAAAAAAGUGAGUUAAGAAAUGUGUUUAUGGUGCAAGUGAAAUAUUAUUUGAGAUAUUUGUGCUAUCCAAACACUCCCAUU